GGGCCUGUAGCUCAGGGGUAGAGCGCUCGCUUUGCAUGUUGGUUCUGACAGUAUGCGAGAGGCCUAGGGUUCAAAUCCCUACCGGUCCA
Xylaria intraflava is the source of this 89-nucleotide non-coding RNA. The record is from the annotation of a GenBank genome assembly. NCBI's taxonomy places the organism in Eukaryota, Fungi, Ascomycota, Sordariomycetes, Xylariales, Xylariaceae.